AACGAACGCUGGCGGCAGGCUUAACACAUGCAAGUCGAACGACAUAGUGGCAGACGGGUGAGUAACGCGUGGGAACGUACCCUUCACUACGGAAUAGCUUCUGGAAACGGAAGGUAAUACCGUAUACGCCCUUCGGGGGAAAGAUUUAUCGGUGAAGGAUCGGCCCGCGUUAGAUUAGUUUGUUGGUGGGGUAAUGGCCUACCAAGACUACGAUCUAUAGCUGGUCUGAGAGGAUGAUCAGCCACACUGGGACUGAGACACGGCCCAGACUCCUACGGGAGGCAGCAGUGGGGAAUCUUGCACAAUGGGCGAAAGCCUGAUGCAGCCAUGCCGCGUGAAUGAUGACGGCCUUAGGGUUGUAAAAUUCUUUCGCCAGGGAUGAUAAUGACAGUACCUGGUAAAGAAGCCCCGGCUAACUUCGUGCCAGCAGCCGCGGUAAUACGAAGGGGGCUAGCGUUGUUCGGAAUUACUGGGCGUAAAGCGCGCGUAGGCGGGCUAUUAAGCCAGAUGUGAAAGCCCGGGGCUCAACCCCGGAAUUGCAUUUGGAACUGGUAGCCUAGAGACCAGGAGAGGUUAGCGGAAUACCGAGUGUAGAGGUGAAAUUCGUAGAUAUUCGGUGGAACACCAGUGGCGAAGGCGGCUAACUGGACUGGUACUGACGCUGAGGCGCGAAAGUGUGGGGAGCAAACAGGAUUAGAUACCCUGGUAGUCCACACCGUAAACGAUGAAUGCUAGUUGUCUGCGCGCAUGCGUGCAGGUGACGCAGCUAACGCAUUAAGCAUUCCGCCUGGGGAGUACGGCCGCAAGGUUAAAACUCAAAGAAAUUGACGGGGGCCCGCACAAGCGGUGGAGCAUGUGGAUUAAUUCGAUGCAACGCGAAGAACCUUACCUGGGUUUGACAUGCACAGGACGACUGCAGAGAUGUGGUUUCCCUUGUGGCCUGUGUGCAGGUGGUGCAUGGCUGU
RNAcentral lists this ribosomal RNA (965 nucleotides) under uncultured bacterium. Its description in RNAcentral is "bacterial SSU rRNA". It matches the Rfam family "Bacterial small subunit ribosomal RNA", at positions 28 to 1052 of the family's 1533-position model. The record is from RNAcentral.